CAGUCGCCGCGGUAACACCGAGGGUGCGAGCGUUAAUCGGAUUUACUGGGCGUAAAGCGUGCGUAGGCGGCUUCUUAAGUCGGAUGUGAAAUCCCUGAGCUUAACUUAGGAAUUGCAUUCGAUACUGGGAAGCUAGAGUAUGGGAGAGGAUGGUAGAAUUCCAGGUGUAGCGGUGAAAUGCGUAGAGAUCUGGAGGAAUACCGAUGGCGAAGGCAGCCAUCUGGCCUAAUACUGACGCUGAGGUACGAAAGCAUGGGGAGCAAACAGGAUUAGAUACCCGUGUAGUCCCUGUCUCUUAUAC
RNAcentral lists this ribosomal RNA (301 nucleotides) under uncultured bacterium. RNAcentral's name for it is "partial 16S ribosomal RNA". It matches the Rfam family "Bacterial small subunit ribosomal RNA", at positions 509 to 807 of the family's 1533-position model. The record is from RNAcentral.